Oryzias latipes (Japanese medaka) is the source of this 100-nucleotide non-coding RNA. RefSeq annotates it as microRNA mir-26-2. Lineage: Eukaryota; Metazoa; Chordata; Actinopteri; Beloniformes; Adrianichthyidae. The record is from RefSeq and is marked provisional.
GCCUGACUGGCUGUUAUCAAGUUCAAGUAAUCCAGGAUAGGCUGUUUGUAUCCUGGUUGGCCUAUUCAUGAUUACUUGCACUGGGUGGCAGCUCCUAGAU